RNAcentral lists this ribosomal RNA (499 nucleotides) under uncultured Glomeromycotina. RNAcentral's name for it is "partial small subunit ribosomal RNA". It matches the Rfam family "Eukaryotic small subunit ribosomal RNA", at positions 591 to 1092 of the family's 1831-position model. The record is from RNAcentral. Lineage: Eukaryota; Fungi; Glomeromycota.
CCAAUAGCGUAUAUUAAAGUUGUUGCAGUUAAAAAGCUCGUAGUUGAAUUUCGGGAUCAAAUUGUCGGUCGUGCCUCGGUACGUACUGGUAUCAUUGGUUCCUCCCUUCUGACGAACCACGAUGUCAUUAAUUUGGUGUCAUGGGAAAUCAGGACUGUUACUUUGAAAAAAUUAGAGUGUUUAAAGCAGGCUCGCGCUUGAAUACAUUAGCAUGGAAUAAUGAAAUAGGACGUUUGAUUCUAUUUUGUUGGUUUCUAGGAUCGACGUAAUGAUUAAUAGGGAUAGUUGGGGGAAUUAGUAUUCAAUGGUCAGAGGUGAAAUUCUUGGAUUUAUUGAAGACUAACUACUGCGAAAGCAUUUGCCAAGGAUGUUUUCAUUAAUCAAGAACGAAAGUUAGGGGAUCGAAGACGAUCAGAUACCGUCGUAGUCUUAACCAUAAACUAUGCCGACUAGGGAUCGGAUGAUGUUAAUUUUUUAAUGACUCAUUCGGCGCCUUACG